CAGAUCAAAUAUCAGAUGAGUGCAGGUAGACUCUGUUUGACUCAAUCAUUUUGUCCCGCGCGAUUCGAAAUCCCGAAAGUUUCGAUUUUUAAAUAUAUCAGCAAGAAGAACACUGACAGAGUCGAUUCGAGGGAGACGAAAAAGGGGAUGAAUCGGAGGGAGAUGAAGGGAGCGCUACCGAGGCUUCAGCUAGGGGAAACCCACCAUUCGGCGUUUUCCACGUCAUCAUCGAACCCCUCUCGCUUCCAGAACCUUCUGGAAGCCGGAGCUGCCGACGGCAACCUUCCCUCCUCCGCUCCUCUCGGCAUCGACGUUGACCCCAGUUUCGACGACCGGGAGUUCAUACUCAGCCAAGACUUCUUCUGCACUCCCGAUUAUAUCACACCGGAUAAUCAGCCUAUGGUGAACGGCUGGGAUUGCAGCAAGCUGGAAGAUAUCCCUUGCCCCAGAUCACCGGAGAAGUCGAAUACCGUUAAGUCGAAGAGGCGCAGGCAGGAUCAGGAUGACAUCUCAUUGAAUCCUCUCAGCCCUACGUUGUUCGGAAAUGAGCCGGUAGUUGAGCUUGAGAAAGAUGUUUUUGGCAUGGAUGAGGUUGUGAUGGAGAAACCAACAGCAACAGAACCACGGAAGAAGCAAAAUUAUGUAUCUCAAUCUGCAGUGGCUUUACGCUGUCGUGUUAUGCCUCCUCCGUGCUUGAAGAAUCCUUAUUUGAAGGAUGCUUCAGAAAUUGGCAUUGAUCCUUUUGGCAACCAAAGAUCGAAGGCUUUCUUCCCUGCAUUUAUGGGCGGAAAUGGCCUUUCGCGUUACUGUGCUGAUUUUCAUGAGAUUGAGCAAAUCGGCAGUGGGUACUUCAGUCAUGUAUUCAAAGUCUUGAACAGAAUUGAUGGUUGUUUGUAUGCAGUGAAACGUAGCAUGAAGCAGUUGCAUCAGGAUACAGAAAGGAGAAAGGCUAUGAUGGAAGUUCAAUCUUUGGCAGCUUUAGGGUCCCAUGAAAACAUUGUUGGAUACUAUUCGUCUUGGUUUGAAAAUGAGCAGCUGCACAUUCAGAUGGAGUUAUGUGAUCACAGCCUAUCCAUCAACAAAUUUUGCCGACCAUUCAAAGAGGGGGAGAUUUUAGAAGCCUUGUAUCAGAUUUCAAAAGCGUUGCAGCUUAUACACGGGCGAGGAAUAGCUCACUUAGAUGUAAAACCUGAUAAUAUAUAUGUGAAGAAUGGUGUUUAUAAGCUUGGUGACUUUGGAUGUGCAACUCUACUUGACAACAGCCUGCCAAUUGAAGAGGGUGAUGCUCGAUAUAUGCCGCAAGAAAUCCUGAAUGAGAAAUAUGAUGAUCUUGAUAAGGCCGAUAUCUUCUCCUUGGGAGUUGCUGUUUAUGAGCUUAUUAGAGGUUCACCUUUGCCAGAAUCAGGACCUCAAAUUUUAAAUCUCAGGGAGGGAAAGUUGCCACUCCUUCCUGGUCAUUCGUUGCAAUUUCAGAACUUACUCAAGUUCAUGUUGGAUCCAAAUCCAGUCUGGAGGCCGUCAGCGAAAGAUUUGGUCGAAAAUCCAAUUUUUGACAAGGUGCGGCGAAAUGGACGAGCCUAGGGCAACCACGAUCGCCUUUGGAAGAGAAUGGCAUGUUGUAUUCGCCAUCCAUAUGCAGCAUCAGCAGGCACUGCAAAACAGGAAAAGGAAAGGAUGUUAAUGUGCAAAGAAUGAAGGAUGUUUUACAGAGAAAAAGCCUUUGAAUUUGUCAACAGGCGAGUUCCACACUUCGGAGUCUAAGGUCUUGUUCGGAAAGUAAUUCUGCGAGGGCCUUAAUCACUUAUGGGAGAAGGAUAUGUGCUUCUCUAUAAAUCACUUUUGGUGAUUUUGCUUGAAAUCACGAUGGCUAGUGAUUUUAAGGAAAAGCAUUUCUCAUGAGCUGCUUCUAAGAGUCACUUUCGAAUGACCCCAUCGCCCAUUGUAGCUAAAUCAUAAGGGGUAUAACUGAUAGC
Non-coding RNA from Malus domestica (apple), 1973 nucleotides. NCBI's taxonomy places the organism in Eukaryota, Viridiplantae, Streptophyta, Magnoliopsida, Rosales, Rosaceae. The record is from RefSeq and is a predicted model, not a curated record.